Molecule: non-coding RNA, 138 nt
Organism: Brachypodium distachyon (stiff brome)
Lineage: Eukaryota; Viridiplantae; Streptophyta; Magnoliopsida; Poales; Poaceae
Source: Rfam
CUACUACUCCCUCCGUCCAACAAAAGAUGUCUCAGGUUUGUCAAAAUUUGGAUGUAUAUAGACAUGACUUAGUUUAUAGAUGCAUUCAAAUUUAGUCAAAGUUGAGACAUUUUUUGUUGGACGGAGGAAUAGUAAACU